GAUGAACGCUGGCGGCGUGCUUAACACAUGCAAGUCGAGCGAAGCGGUUUUAAGGAAGCCUUCGGGUGAAAUUAAAAUUGACUUAGCGGCGGACGGGUGAGUAACGCGUGGGUAACCUGCCUCAUACAAGGGGAUAACAGUUAGAAAUGACUGCUAAUACCGCAUAAGCGCACAGUGCUGCAUAGCACAGUGUGAAAAACUCCGGUGGUAUGAGAUGGACCCGCGUCUGAUUAGGUAGUUGGUGAGGUAACGGCCCACCAAGCCGACGAUCAGUAGCCGACCUGAGAGGGUGACCGGCCACAUUGGGACUGAGACACGGCCCAAACACCUACGGGUGGCAG
Molecule: ribosomal RNA, 341 nt
Filed under: uncultured Bacillota bacterium
Lineage: Bacteria; Bacillati; Bacillota
Description: bacterial SSU rRNA
Rfam family: Bacterial small subunit ribosomal RNA
Source: RNAcentral